UGUCCCAUGGUGUAAUGGUAACACAGCGGUUUUUGGUACCGUCGUUCUAGGUUCGAGUCCUAGUGGGACAA
This 71-nucleotide transfer RNA is filed under the name Patiriisocius marinus. It matches the Rfam family "tRNA". From Rfam's summary of the family: Transfer RNA (tRNA) molecules are approximately 80 nucleotides in length. Their secondary structure includes four short double-helical elements and three loops (D, anti-codon, and T loops). Lineage: Bacteria; Pseudomonadati; Bacteroidota; Flavobacteriia; Flavobacteriales; Flavobacteriaceae. The record is from Rfam by way of RNAcentral. RNAcentral also lists the same sequence under 1 other name.